GUUUGAUCCUGGCUCAGGACGAACGCUGGCGGCGGGCUUAACACAUGCAAGUCGAACGCCCCGCAAGGGGAGUGGCAGACGGGUGAGUAACGCGUGGGAAUCUACCCUUCUCUACGGAACAACUCCGGGAAACUGGAGCUAAUACCGUAUACGUCCUUCGGGAGAAAGAUUUAUCGGAGAUGGAUGAGCCCGCGUUGGAUUAGCUAGUUGGUGGGGUAAUGGCCUACCAAGGCGACGAUC
This 240-nucleotide ribosomal RNA is filed under the name Pycnococcus provasolii. RNAcentral's name for it is "partial Bacterial small subunit ribosomal RNA". It matches the Rfam family "Bacterial small subunit ribosomal RNA", at positions 11 to 281 of the family's 1533-position model. The record is from RNAcentral. Lineage: Eukaryota; Viridiplantae; Chlorophyta; Pseudoscourfieldiophyceae; Pseudoscourfieldiales; Pycnococcaceae.